This 253-nucleotide ribosomal RNA is filed under the name uncultured bacterium. Its description in RNAcentral is "partial 16S ribosomal RNA". It matches the Rfam family "Bacterial small subunit ribosomal RNA", at positions 524 to 776 of the family's 1533-position model. The record is from RNAcentral.
UACGUAGGGUGCAAGCGUUGUCCGGAAUUAUUGGGCGUAAAGAGCUCGUAGGCGGUCUGUCGCGUCUGCUGUGAAAACUCGGGGCUUAACCCCGAGCCUGCAGUGGAUACGGGCAGACUAGAGGUAGGUAGGGGAGAAUGGAAUUCCCGGUGUAGCGGUGAAAUGCGCAGAUAUCGGGAGGAACACCGGUGGCGAAGGCGGUUCUCUGGGCCUUACCUGACGCUGAGGAGCGAAAGCGUGGGGAGCGAACAGG